UACGUAGGGGGCCAGCGUUGUCCGGAAUCAUUGGGCGUAAAGCGCGCGUAGGCGGCCAGAUAAGUCCGGUGUGAAAGUCCCAGGCUCAACCUGUGAAUGCCGCUGGAAACUAUCUGGCUAGAGUCCGGAAGGGGCGAGUGGAAUUCCUGGUGUAGCGGUGAAAUGCGCAGAUAUCAGGAGGAACACCUAUGGCGAAGGCAGCUCGCUGGGACGGUACUGACGCUGAGGCGCGAAGGCCAGGGGAGCAAACGGG
RNAcentral lists this ribosomal RNA (253 nucleotides) under uncultured bacterium. RNAcentral describes it as "partial 16S ribosomal RNA". It matches the Rfam family "Bacterial small subunit ribosomal RNA", at positions 524 to 776 of the family's 1533-position model. The record is from RNAcentral.